CCUACGGGUGGCUGCAGUGGGGAAUAUUGGACAAUGGGCGAAAGCCUGAUCCAGCCAUGCCGCGUGUGUGAAGAAGGCCUUCGGGUUGUAAAGCACUUUCAGUGGGGAAGAAAGCCUUGGGGCUAAUACCCUCGAGGAAGGACAUCACCCACAGAAGAAGCACCGGCUAACUCCGUGCCAGCAGCCGCGGUAAUACGGAGGGUGCGAGCGUUAAUCGGAAUUACUGGGCGUAAAGCGCGCGUAGGCGGUCUGAUAAGCCGGUUGUGAAAGCCCCGGGCGCAACCUGGGAACGGCAUCCGGAACUGUCAGGCUAGAGUGCAGGAGAGGAAGGUAGAAUUCCCGGUGUAGCGGUGAAAUGCGUAGAGAUCGGGAGGAAUACCAGUGGCGAAGGCGGCCUUCUGGACUGACACUGACGCUGAGGUGCGAAAGCGUGGGUAGCAAACAGGAUUAGAUACCCGGGUAGUC
RNAcentral lists this ribosomal RNA (465 nucleotides) under Vreelandella stevensii. RNAcentral describes it as "partial 16S ribosomal RNA". It matches the Rfam family "Bacterial small subunit ribosomal RNA", at positions 338 to 795 of the family's 1533-position model. The record is from RNAcentral. Lineage: Bacteria; Pseudomonadati; Pseudomonadota; Gammaproteobacteria; Oceanospirillales; Halomonadaceae.